AUAUUACUUCCUCCGUCCGAAAAUACUUGUCAUCAAAAUGGAUAAAAUGGGAUGUAUCUAGACAUAUCUUAGUUCUAAAUACAUCUCUUUUUAUCCAUUUUGAUGACAAGUAUUUCCUGACGGAGGGAGUAUAAA
Molecule: non-coding RNA, 135 nt
Organism: Triticum aestivum (bread wheat)
Lineage: Eukaryota; Viridiplantae; Streptophyta; Magnoliopsida; Poales; Poaceae
Source: Rfam